CAGGCCUUGACAUCCCGAUCGCGGCCCCUUGAAAGAGGGGCUUUCAGUUCGGCUGGAUCGGUGACAGGUGCUGCAUGGCUGUCGUCAGCUCGUGUCGUGAGAUGUUGGGUUAAGUCCCGCAACGAGCGCAACCCUCGCCCUUAGUUGCCAUCAUUAAGUUGGGCACUCUAAGGGGACUGCCGGUGAUAAGCCGCGAGGAAGGUGGGGAUGACGUCAAGUCCUCAUGGCCCUUACGGCCUGGGCCACACACGUGCUACAAUGGCGGUGACAAUGGGCAGCAAAGGCGCGAGCCCCAGCUAAUCUCAAAAAGCCGUCUCAGUUCGGAUUGCACUCUGCAACUCGGGUGCAUGAAGUUGGAAUCGCUAGUAAUCGUGGAUCAGCACGCCACGGUGAAUACGUUCCC
Molecule: ribosomal RNA, 403 nt
Filed under: uncultured bacterium
Lineage: Bacteria
Description: bacterial SSU rRNA
Rfam family: Bacterial small subunit ribosomal RNA
Source: RNAcentral